AUGUUCUUGUUCGGUACUAUGAUGAAGAUGUGGGAAAAAGUGGCAACCCAGCAUCUAGCCUCGAGGAAACUGAAUAUUGCAGAUGCCUUAACAAUCACAAACACAUUGAAAGAUAUUCUCCAGUCAUAUAGCCUGAACUGGAAUCAGGUUGUUGGUAUACUGUUGGAUAACUGCAGUGUGAUGAGAGGGAAAAAGUCUGGAGUAGAGACACUAGUCAGAAGAGAAAAUCCAUCACUGCUGGAUGUCAGCGGAGACACUGUCCAUAUGGUCUCGAAUGCAGCCAAGGCCCUUUUAAAUCCUUUCCAGGGAUUUGUGGAACAAUUUUGCUCUGAUGUAUACUAUGACAUUGAAAAAUCACCCAAACAGAAAGAAGUUUUUUCUGAGUUUCAGUCCUUACUUCAUUUGGAGAAUAAGAGCCUAAUACGUCCCAUCAGCAGCAGGUUCCUGCAAAUGUUGGAUGUGUGCAACAGAAUACGGGAGCUUAUGGAUCCAUUGACUGUGCACUUCUACAGCGUCCUGUCUUCUCAUGAUCAACACAAACACAGAUGGCUCCUGAACCAGCUUCUUGAUAAGCAUGCAGUUACAUCUGAUGAGAAGGCCAGGAUAAUUUGUCUGCAACAGCAAAUGGCAAAAUCUGCAAGGAUCGGAAGUGAUGUCAACAAAAAACGAAAGACACGCAUCUGUAUGCUUUUUUCAGAGUUCGACAAGCUCACAACCAUUAUUGAUUUGUAUCGAGGUGUACUUCCAACUUUUCAGGUGUUCCUGAAGAAGUUGCAACAUGAAAAGCCCAUGAUUCAUGUGCUGCAUGCUGAAAUGCUGCUACUGGUUAGGGAACUUCUCUCCAAAUUUAUGAAGCCUGAAACUAUUCCUUUGAGUGCAAAGGGCUUGUUGAAGCUUAAUGUUCACCAGAGAGACCUGCAGUACACUGACAAAAGGUUGUCUGUGGGGAGAUUCAGCUUCUUUGCCUUAAACAAGGCUAGAGUAGAAAAGAAGCCCUGGGUGCAGAAGGUCUACAGCUCUCUCAGAGAAGGCUACAUAAAGGCAGCAACAUUCCUCCUGAAAAACCUGCCCCUCAACAACAACAUCAUCACCUCUUUAUCUGCGCUGACACCAUCAUUGAUUCUCCAUGAAUCAGUCCAAGGUGCAUUCAACACCUUGGCCAAGGCCUUGCCAAAUGCUGUGAAGUCAGAGGAGUUGGGUCAACUGGAUGAAGAGGUUCGAGCCUACCAGAUUAAUACAGAUCUAGGGACACAGGCCAAAUGCUUUGAGGAGAACAAUGCACAAAUCGAUGUUGACUGGUGGAGUAAGAUUUUCGCCAUGAAGAUGCCAGAAGGAGGAAUGAGGUUCCCCAUCUUAGGGAAGUUGGUAAAGGCUCUUCUGUCAUUGUUCACUGGCCCUCUUGUCGAAGGAUCAUUUAACAUGAUGGAUGAUAUAAUUGAGAAAGACAGGGUUAGGCUGAACAUUGAGACUUAUGAAGGCUUAGCCAUUCUCAAGUCCCACAUGAAGGUAAUGGGCAAAACUGCAUCUAAAAUGCAAAUUACCCCUGCAUUAAGGAGAUUUUGCCUGUCUUCUUAUGAGACAUACCAAAAUCAUCUGAAGAAAAAGAAGGUGAACCUUGACAAGCAAAAGGAAAGGAAACUGAGGGAAGCUGUGAAGGUCCUCUCAGCAGUUAGGGUUAGAAAAAGUAAAGAAAGGUUCCACCUCUUCUGUUUGUGCUAAAAGCCUCCACCUCUUCCGCCCUUGGAGUUAAACAAAAAGCUGCUGCUACAGCCUCCACCCCUGCAGUUAAAGGCGCUGCUGCUACAGUCUCCACCUCCUCCACUGUUGGAGUUAAAGGUAAAGCUGUUGCUACAGCCUCUUUCUCCUCCACCCCUGGAGUUAAAGGCAAAACUGCUGCUACAGCCUCCACCCCCUCCACCUCUCCUGGAGCCACUCCUGCACAUGUAGCUAGUCAAACACUAAAACGGGUGUCAGGUGUAGCCAAGCUUCAGGAAUAUGGUUUCACAGCCAAAAAGCAGAAAAAGUGAAAAGCACUCUAGAGACAUUUGCACAAGAAAAGCACUUUUUGGAAUUUAAUGGUGGUGCAGUUACUUUUUUUCCUGUUCAUUAUUAAGAGUUUCACAAAACAUUGUUUGGUGUUAUAAGAUAAAUAAAAACAUGCACUGAAAAGAUGUGUGGUAGAUGGUUGAUUAUUUGUCAAAAUAUGCAAACUGGCAAUAUUAAAGCGGUUUAAUCUCCCCUUAAAACGCUAUUGGUCUCGACUAUUUAAAUAAAGUGUUUGUUAAAGGAAUAUGGCUUGGCCUGAAAAAUGUUCAGUCAGAAGAUUUUUUUUCACUUUAAUCCCUGGGGAAAUCUUUCACCCACAAAAAUGAUGUGAUCAAUGUGACCACAGAAUAAAAGAAUAGAAAAGGUAAUUGUGACUUUUUAUCUCACAAUUCUGACUUUUAUCACAGUUGAGUUUAUAUCUUGAAUUUGCAUGUUAUAAACUUGUCAUUGUGAGUUUAUAUCGUACAGUUCUAUAUGGUUAAAAGUGUUAGAACACCUGACCAUUAAAGUAACCAGGACUUUAAUGACAUCACAUUCUAAAUAUGUAGACAUGGAGUUGGUCCCCCCUUUGCAGCUAUAAUUCAAUUCAAGUUUAUUUGUAUAGCACUUUUUCCGAUACAAAUCAUUGCAAAGCAACUUUACAGAAAAUUAAGUUUCUACAAUGUUUAGUAGUAGCUUAUCAUGUGCAUACGGCAGAAAUGUUCGGAAAAUUAAUAAAAGACGUAAACAAACAGACGAUUAAAACUAUUAAUAGCAAUUAUGCAAUCAAACUUAUAGCAAAAUGUGGUAGUUCUGUAUGCUGUUUCAGGGUUAGCAUCAUCUGAGGUCCUCUGAGGGGUUGGCAUCAUCUCUUAUCAGGUGUUCUGGAUCCAGACUGGAGCUUGUGUAAAUCCUAGUUAAAUCCCGUGGCAAAACAGAGAAACAAAUAGAGACAUAGUUAGCAUAGCUGCUGUUCAAGCCUAGUAAAAUUAAUUUGUUUAACCCAAACUAAAGAAUAAUAAUGUGCAUUUGAUCAGAUAUAACUGCAGCCAAAAAUUAUGAGAUGCAUUAUUUGAAUGCUUGGCCAAAGAGGUGUGUUUUUAAUCUAGAUUUAAACAUAGGAAGUGUGUCUGAACCCCGGACAUUAUCAGGAAGGCUAUUCCAGAGUUUGGGAGGCAAAUGUGAAAAAGCUCUCCCUCCUUUAGUGGACUUCGCUAUCCUAGGUACUACCAAAAGUCCAGAGUUUUGUGACCUUAGGGAGUGUGAUGGAUUGUAGCGUGGUAGAAGACUAGUUAAGUAUGCAGGAGCUAAACCAUUAAGGGCCUUAUAAUUAAGUAAUAAUAUUUUGUAACUGAUACGGAACUUAAUAGGUAGCCAGUGCAGAGACUGUAGUAUUGGGGUAAUAUGAUCAUAUUUUCUUGACCUGGUAAGGACUCUAGCCGCUGCAUUUUGGACUACCUGCAGCUUGUUUAUUGAGGAUGCAGGACAACCACCUAGCAGUGCAUUUCAAUAGUCCAGUCUAGAGGUAAUGAUUGCAUGAACUAGCUUUUCUGCAUCAGAAACAGGUAACAUGUUUCAUAGCUUGGCAGUGUUUCUAAGAUGGAGGAAUGCUAUAACAGCUUCCACUUUUCCUUGAGGGGCAUUCCACAAGAUGUUGGAGUGUUUCAGUGGGAAGUUGUUUCCCAUUUAUCCAGUAGAGCAUUUGUGAAGUCAGCCACUGAUGUUAGACAACAAGGCCUGGCUCACAGUCUGUUACAGUUAAUCCCAAUGGGGUUGAGGACAGGGCUCUAUGCAUGUCAGUCAAGUUCUUCCACACCAAACACAUCCGACCAUGACUGCUUUGUGGACUGGGGCACAGUCAUUCUGGGAUAAAGAAAGAGAUUUGCCCAGUCUGUUCCCACAAUGUUGGAAGCAUAGCAUUGUCCAGAAUGUCUUGGUUUGAGGAAGCAUUAUGAUUUCCCUUCACUGGAAGUAAGGGGCCUAGGCCUUGCAAAACAGCUCCAUACCGUUAACCCUCCUCCACCAAACAGUUGGCACAGUGCAGUCAGGAAGGUAAUGUUCUCCUGCCGUCACCCAUCAGACUGCCAAAAAGAGAACUGUGAUUCGCCACUCCAAAGAACAGGUUUCCACUGCUCCAGAGUCCAGUGGUUGUGUGCUUUACACCACUCCAUCCAACACUUGGCAUUGUACUUGAUGAUGUGAGGCUUGUAUGCAGCUGCUCGUCCAUGAAAACCCAUUCCAUGGAGUGUCCACGCACAGUUUUUGUGCUGAUACUAAUCCAGUGGAAGUUUGCAUUGAAUUCUGCAGCUAUCGAAUCAGCAGAGCAUUGGCGACUUUUACAUACCAUGCAUCUCAGCACUCGGUUGAGUUGAUGUUGUUCCUAAACGCUUCAACUUUAUAAUACAACCACUUACAGUUGACCGUGGAAUCUAGAGGGGAUGAAAUUUCAUGCACUGACUUGCUGCAAAGGUGGCAUCCUAUCACAGUACCACACUUCAAUUCACUGAGCUCUUCAGAACAACCCAUUUUUUCACAAGUGUUUGUAAAUGCAGACUGCAUGGCAUACUUUUAUCCAUGUGGCGUAUGAGUAAAGAUAAGGUGUAUAAUAGCUUAUUUGGAAAAUGUAUCGAAUAGAAACUUUUUAAAAUGCAUUUGGGCUUCAUACAGUUCAUCAUGCAUUCAUUUUUUUGGGGACCUAACCCCUCGAUGCUCUACCAGUUGAGUUACAGGUAAUAUGAAUGGCUAUUUAUAUGUAAACAUG
Long non-coding RNA from Cyprinus carpio carpio, 4786 nucleotides. The record is from Ensembl. Lineage: Eukaryota; Metazoa; Chordata; Actinopteri; Cypriniformes; Cyprinidae.